GCUAGUCACGAUCGUGUUAAGUAGAUUCAUGGCAGGAGUAUCAUGCUUUUCAUAGUUACAAUUGCCUCGUCGAUGCUUAUGAUUUCCAAAGAACUUAAUGAUUCUAACUUGUAUAUUUAUCAUGCUGUUCAUAUAGAGAACUUGUUAGGAAUAAUUUGUUUGCGAUGCAUAUUCAUCCAAUUCAAUGAUUCUAGGGAAAUCUGAAAGUUAAUUUAAGCGGACCUAAUUAACUUGGAGUGUCGAGGUUCCUAACUUAUUGAAUUGAUAACUGGAAAUCGAUUACGUUGCAUAAAUUUCAUGUGUGGAGAAGAACCCCUUAGCCAUUCCAUCACCCAUUGAUUCAUCACAUUUAGUUUACAAUCUGUUUUAAUUUACAAUCUGUGCAUUUAGUUCAAAUUCGUCCAAACACAAUUCCCCCAUAUUUUGUUAAGUUUGAGUCUUCAUAAUCUGUCCUCUUUGGUGUUUUUAAGUAUUUUGAGUCAUAAGUUUUGUCAAAUUCGUCCAAAUCUUGUCUUAGUUGCUGUUUGAGUCAAUUAACUUGUUUUAAUCAGUUUUGGGCAGAUUUGAGUGUUUCAAAUCUGUUUUGAAUCUUAGUAGUCUAAUUAGAGUCUUUAAGUUUAGUUUUCGUGUUUCUAAGUCGAUUUGUAUUAGAUUAGCACCCCUAGUUAAUCCCCGGUUAGAACGAUCCCUACUUACAUCAUUACUACAAUUGUCACAAAUAGGGUUUAAUUUGUGUGUCAAGUUAAUUUUACGCAUCAUAAACUAGUACCUAAAACAGGAAAACAAGACAAGGUCAGAAACUAGAAACAAAUACAAACGAAAAUAAACAAAAAGAAAUAACAAGGGAUUAGCAAAGUUGCUAAUCCCUAACAACGGCACCAAAAUUUGAUGUGAUAAAAGUUAAGCACACAAAUUAAACCCUCUUGUUGACAAUUGUAGUAUGAAUAAGUAGGGAUCGUUCUUAAACCGGAGAUUAUGAGGGAUUGCUAAAACACUCUAAACUAACUCAAAUAUAUAAAAAGAGGCUAAAAACACUUAACUAGACUCAAAGAACUCAAAUCAAACUCAAAAGACUCAAAACCUGCUAAAAACGCUCAAAACUGCCUAAAAACAACAAUUAGACAGUUUCUGACUCUAACACACUUCUUGGACGAAUUUUGGUUUUAAAUUGAUUCAAAACACUUAAAAACACAAACUAAACAGAUUCUAACUAAUUAGACACUCUAAAGUAAAGGGGGGUUUGGUUUUGGUGAAUUUGAAAACAAAACAAACAGAUUGUAAACUAAGCAAAUUUUGGACGAAUUUGGGGUAAAACUAUGGAUGAUAAGCUAGCUAGGAAGUUCUUCUCCACCCUUGACACACUUGCAAACAAAAUGAUUUCCAGUUGCUUUUCAAUACCCAUGAAUCCUCAACGCCCCAGAUUAACUGUGAAUUGCACUAAUUAACCCUCAGAUUUUCCUAAUUUCAUUGAAUUAGUAGAUGAUUGUAUACAACAACCCAAAGCAUUCUUCACAAGUUCCCUACAUGAAUUGCAUAAUAAAGCUACAAGCAAAGAUAAUUAAGUUCAAUGAAAAUCAUAAGCAUUAACAAGGCACUUGUAACUAUGAAUUGUAUGAAACUUAUGCCAAGAAUUUACUUAACACGAUUGUGACAAGCAACCUUCACUACUUGUGAAUAUAAGUUCAUAACGAUUAGGUGAAACUCCCUUAUAUCUUAGCAUCAGAUUUAUGCAUGAAAAUUAAGCGUGCACUCUCAACCAACACACAUAAAUCAGUUUUAAUUCAAAUGGAUAAGUAAAUAGAAUUCACAACUUAUGAAUCACAACUGGAUGUAAUCAAAUCAUAGUGCAAGUAUGAACAUGGUUUCGAAUUCCCCCAUUGCUAAAAGGGGUUUAGUUCCUCAUACUCACAACACAAAGAUUAUUGAAUUAAAACAUUGAAAACAAAAGAAAGAUUGCACCUAAAACGUUCCAGCAAUCCUAGCUCGAAUGACAAGCACAUCCAAGGGCUUUCCUCCUUCCUUCUUGCUGCGGCACAAGGUUUGAUGGUGAGUUUUAGGGGUUAUGGAUGGUGUAGAAGGAUGGGUUUAUGGUUAGGAUAAAUGUAUGGUGCGGCAAGGGUUUAUUAAGGUCAGAAAUUAUGGAGAAUGGUGAAGGAUGGAUGCGGCAGAGAGUGAGAGAUGAUUUCUGGCGUGAAUGGGUGAAUGAAUGGAUGCCUUAGGCUGCAAAAAGGAAGUCUAUUUAAGGUUUUUAGGAAUUAAAACCCUAACUUAUUUUGGUUAACAGAAAUUAAGUCAAAAGCUUCUAGAAAAAGGAAAUAAAAUAAAAAAAACUAAGGGAAAUAGGCUAAGAUAUGCGGCAAGGAGAUAAAACACAAUAGGAAUGUGUUUUAAUGCAAGGAAUUAGGAAAGAACACUCUCCCUUGCACGGCAAGGAAGAGUAAAGGGCCAGGAGGGUGCGGCAAGGCCUUUGAUUGUGCAAGGAAGAUGUAUUUUGUGUCCUAGAAUGCUUAGGAGGCCUUCCGUGUUGCUGAAAUUUAGAGACAUUCAAGAUUAGGAAAGGUUAAACCCAAAAUAGGAAACCUUGGCUUAACUUUCUUACUUCAAUUAGGAAUCCUUAUUCAAUUGGGAAUCCUUCUUCAACUAGGAAUUCUUCUUCAAUUAGGAAUCCUAGCAUCUUCAGGUCUUCAAUUUCGUCCAUUCCUUUUGGUCCAAGCAUAUGCUAUCCAUUCCAAGCCUAAUUUUGCUCCAAAAUGCACUUCUUUGCCACUUUAACCCUUUGGACCUACAAACACACGAAAAUAGCUUAAAAUACUAAAAUAACUACGUACUAACAACAUAAAUGCCAAGAAACAAGCUAACUAAGUCGCAUAAAUAUACUCCUAUCAAGCAUCGUCGCCAACUGAGCAAUCGCCUCGCUGCGAGCAUUACUCUUAACCCAUCACUUAUGCAUUGAGGAGUGAGCCCUUAUUCUAUAAAAAAGACUCCCUCACCAUCAUUAGAGAGCAUCGUCGCCUGCCGGGCAACCGCCUCGUCGCGAGCAUCAACUCUUAACCCAUCACUUAUGUAUUGAGGAGCGAGCCCUUAUUCUAUAAAAUGGACUCCCUCACCAUCAUUAGAGAGCAUCGCCGUCUGCUGAGCAACCGCCUCGCCGCGAGCAUCAACUCUAGCCUAUCGUUUAUGUAUUGAGGAGUGGGCCCUUAUUUUAUAAAAGGGACUCCCUCACCUUCAACGCCACAAGCCGAGCCAACCCAGGCAAUAUAAGCCACAAGCAGAGCAGCCUCACAACAUGUGCUACUUCUAGUUGAGCCUCAUUUCAGAUUGGGCACCGCCUCAUAUCGAGUAUCAAAGCAAUGAAUUCGGCCCUAAAGAGUUUCAAAGUAUUGUUUGUUGAAGUAAGGGUCCAAAGUAUUGUUUGUUGAAGUAAGGGUCCAAAGCAAUGAAUUCGGCCCUAAAGAGUUAUCUAAAUCUUUCCCUUGUGCUUUAAAGUUAAUUUCUGCAAUCUAAGUGAAUUCUAAGCCUCAAUUUCACUACUUUGCUUACUAAUGCUUGAAGAACGUUUGUUUUCCCUAUCCUUUCUUUGUUAACCAAUACCCCAAGCCCCGUUACAACCCUUAACUUCUAUCUUGAGUGUUAUGUGUUUCAAUUUGUGGAGUUUGAAUUUGGUAUGAGCAUAUGGU
Molecule: long non-coding RNA, 3677 nt
Filed under: Malus domestica (apple)
Lineage: Eukaryota; Viridiplantae; Streptophyta; Magnoliopsida; Rosales; Rosaceae
Description: long non-coding RNA (MDOM_LNC019586)
Source: RNAcentral